AGACAAUUGAGAUUAUAAAAAGGCUGCUGAGCACAUCAGUAUUUUGAGAAAAUGCCAUGUUUUAAAAACACGUUUUUAAAAGUCGAUGUUGAAAAAGGCACACCACCAAGCUGCGAAAACAUCACCAAUGGCAGAAGACAGCAGACUACUCAAUGAGAAUUGAAUUACUCAUCAAUUCAAGAAAUUUGACACUGAGCUGCAGGAAUUUUACCAUCCUAGUAUUUCCAACAACUUCCAGAAAAUACAAGAGAUAGAGGGAAAGAGGAUAGUGAGAAUGAGAGAAUCAGUGAAGAGGGACUUGGAAAACCCUCUACAUGUUUGAAGUUCAGAAUGAAGGAAUCAUUUCAAUAGUUGAAGCAAAAAUAUUGUAUAUUAUAGAGGAAAAUGAAGGUGCUGCGUGAAUCUGCUUUUGGAAAAAUGAAGAUGAAAAGAGUUAAGUCCCUACUUUGUCAACAUUGAUUUGGACUAAAAUGCCAAAGGUGCUAACAUGUCGAAUUGCUUGAAUUCAGGCGGCAAAGAUGGCAGUGAGCCAAGAUCGCACCACUCCACUC
Molecule: long non-coding RNA, 551 nt
Filed under: Pan troglodytes (chimpanzee)
Lineage: Eukaryota; Metazoa; Chordata; Mammalia; Primates; Hominidae
Description: long non-coding RNA NONPTRT010154
Source: RNAcentral